Non-coding RNA from Caenorhabditis elegans, 21 nucleotides. The record is from Ensembl. NCBI's taxonomy places the organism in Eukaryota, Metazoa, Nematoda, Chromadorea, Rhabditida, Rhabditidae.
UCAUUGGUGCAUUGUUAAGAA